UACGUAGGGUCCGAGCGUUGUCCGGAAUUACUGGGCGUAAAGGGUUCGUAGGCGGUCUGUCGCGUCGGUAGUGAAAACUCAGGGCUCAACCCUGAGCGUGCUUUCGAUACGGGCAGACUAGAGGUAUGCAGGGGAGAAUGGAAUUCCUGGUGUAGCGGUGGAAUGCGCAGAUAUCAGGAGGAACACCGGUGGCGAAGGCGGUUCUCUGGGCAUUACCUGACGCUGAGGAGCGAAAGCAUGGGGAGCGAACAGGAUUAGAUACCCCGGUAGU
RNAcentral lists this ribosomal RNA (271 nucleotides) under uncultured prokaryote. Its description in RNAcentral is "partial 16S ribosomal RNA". It matches the Rfam family "Bacterial small subunit ribosomal RNA", at positions 524 to 794 of the family's 1533-position model. The record is from RNAcentral.